Empidonax traillii (willow flycatcher) is the source of this 1561-nucleotide long non-coding RNA. RefSeq lists it as uncharacterized. Lineage: Eukaryota; Metazoa; Chordata; Aves; Passeriformes; Tyrannidae. The record is from RefSeq and is a predicted model, not a curated record. The transcript is spliced from 2 exons.
UUUUAAAUUCUCCUCAUGAAACUAAUCAGGUGGCACCUUCCCGUGUGGAAAUUUCCUUGCAAAUAUAUUACUGUACUCUACAAAUGACUUUUACCCUGUAUGCCCCUGAUAACAAUUGCAUUAAUAUAAGCUGAUAAACUCAUUUCUUUAGUUGCGGCUCAUAGAGCAGCUUGCUAGUUAAGAUAAAAAGUAAAUUAUGGGAUAUAAAAGACAUAUCUGAUUGUACAGUAAUACACUGUGUGCCAAGCAGUUGGUGAGGUAAGGUUUACAUAACCACUAGAGGUUGCUUGAACUUUUGAGAUAUAUUUCCAUGUUCUUUUUUCCUCACUGAACACAAAACAGGGGCAGAACACAGAACAAGCAAUUAAGAAAAGUGUCACUGUUUUUAUUACAGUGAUUUGAGAUUAGAAGUUGCAAGAGGGUAAACAAUCUAGAGGAAGUGUUUUGAAGUCUUCAUCGUGUAGAUGCGGUCCUUUGGGGAAACUGUCAUUCCCUUCAGUGUGGGAGGAUUCUCUUUACAUGCAGAUUUGUAGAAGGAAAUUUUGACUCCAUCCAUAUCCUACAAUAUUCUUUGGCUGCUGCUAAUUCACUUAAUGACACAGUUGGUUGCUCAGUGAAAUUGCUCUGAGCUGUCGUAGCAAUGGUGAAUGACAGCCUUUUUUGGGGGCUGAUUCAAGCCCAGCUCCAGCUGAUGGAAAGACUCCCACUGUGCAUCUAAAAUGCACAUUUUUCCAUCAGAUAGGCAGGAGGUGGCUAGCUUGGAGCUGGGCUGCCUGGCCUCCUGUCAUCAUCACAGACCUCCACCUGUGUGCCCAACACUUGCAGUCACUGGGCACAAGCCUGCAAAGAUAUUCUCUUGGAAAACAUAGAGCAAGCAGAGUGAGCCAUCCUCAAACAUAGAUAGAUAGAUAGAUAGAUAGAUAGAUAGAUAGAUCCAUUCUUCCACUUCUCUUCCUCCUUCCUAAUGCUCAGUGACAGCAUAUUCACUCAACAAAAAUAGUGGCUUCUAAAAUAAUUUCCAUCUUAAUUGUAAAGUGCAGUGGUCUUUAUUCCCAGUAGCAUCAGAGAAAAAUGGAGAUGGGGAAUUGCUCAGCUCUACCCUGUUUAUGACUACUUUUCUUUUUCUUUCAUUUAAAUGAUGUACUCAGAAAAAUUAUUUGUUUGGAGGAAAGAUUGCAGGUUACUGAUGCAGCAUUCUGAUAGAUAUUUUAGCAUACUCAGAGAAGAGAAAAUUCACUCUCACAAAUUGACAUCUUGGAUUUCUUUUUAAUUUCUUACCAAGUUCAUUGCAGACAGUUUAAGUCCCACCUCUGUCUGAACAAGUGUCUUCCUGUAUUUUUGACAAUUGACCAAUUUUCUCAUGCAUGCCAGUUUGUUCAAAGUUCUUUCUCUGUUUUCUUUCUAAUGGUUUCUGAAUUAGCAAGUCUUUGACCUUCUGAUGGUGCAGAUUGUCUGUUUGCACCAGCCUACAUAUUAUCCAGAGUAAUCCACCUGUGGUAUGAAUCUCCUCUACCUUAUCUUGUCUUGUAGCUUGAACUAGCCCUUGGCAUUCUCAGUUAUC